GCCGACAGCUAGCUCUCUGCAUCUCUCACUUGGUCACCCACUGAAGCUAAGCAGGGCUGUGCUCAGUUAGUACCUGGAUGGGAGAUCACAUGGAAAAACUAAGUUGCUUUCCGGA
Molecule: ribosomal RNA, 115 nt
Organism: Danio rerio (zebrafish)
Lineage: Eukaryota; Metazoa; Chordata; Actinopteri; Cypriniformes; Danionidae
Source: Ensembl